AUGGUCGGCAAUGGCAUCAUGGCGCCAUCGCAGCGGAAGAAGGUAUGCGUGAUCGGGGCCGGGAUGGCCGGGCUCGUGUCAGCCCGCGAGCUGCGACGGGAGGGCGACGACGUGACGGUGCUGGAGCAGCGCGGCGACGUGGGCGGGCAGUGGCUAUACGACCCGAGGGUCGACGGCACCGACCCGCUCGGCACCGCGGAGCCGGUGAAGGUGCAUAGCAGCUUGUACGCGUCCCUCUGCCUCAUCAGCGCCCGGGAGACCAUGGGCUUCACCGACUUCCCCUUCGCUCCCAAGCCCAAGGACGGCCGCGACAGCCGGCGCUUCCCGGGCCACCGCGAGGUGUACCUCUACCUCAAGGACUUCUGCGAUGCCUUCGGGCUCAUGGAGCUCGUCAGGCUCAACACCAGUGCUGCGCGUGUUGCCUUGGCGCCGGGUCCGACUCCGACGCGGCAGUGGACGGUGAGCUCCGUCGAUCUCGGCAAGUGCAAUGGUACCGAGGAGGAGGAGGAGGUGUUCGACGCCGUGGUCGUCGCCAAUGGCCACUACUCGCAGCCAAUAUUACCAACAAUCAAAGGCAUGCAAGUGUGGAGGGGAAGGCAGAUGCACAGCCACUCGUACAGGGUGCCGGAACAGUUCCGCGACGAGGUGGUGGUGGUGGUGGGGUGCGGCCUCAGCGGCAUGGAGAUCGCCAUGGAGGUCCGCGGGGUGGCCAAGGAGGUGCAUCUCGUCGCCAAAUCCAUGGAGGAGGUAACCCAAGGGCUCGCCAAGGUGCUCGCCAAGCAUAGCGUUAGCCUUCACCUACAACUUCACGUGGAGCGCCUGUGCCAGGACGGGCGGGUGGUGUUCGGCGACGGCUCUAGUGUCCUCGCCGACACGGUCAUCUACUGCACAGGGUACAAUUACACUUUCCCAUUCCUGGAUACCGAGGGAGCAGUCACCGUCGACGACAACCGCGUGGGCCCGCUAUUCGAGCACGUUUUCCCGCCGACGCUGGCGCCAUCACUCUCCUUCAUCGGUAUACCCAAAAAGGUAUUUGCUCCUUGGUUCUUCGAGGCUCAAGCGAAAUGGGUGGCGCAUGUCCUGUCUGGCAAGAGGACGCUGCCGCCGGAGGAGGAGAUGAUGCGAUCCGUGGAGGAGUUUUACCACGCCAGGGAUAUAGCUGGCGUGCCCAAGAAGUUCACCCACGACGUCAGCUUGUUUGACAUCACGACAUGA
This 1215-nucleotide ribosomal RNA is filed under the name Triticum aestivum (bread wheat). RNAcentral describes it as "partial small subunit ribosomal RNA". The record is from RNAcentral. Lineage: Eukaryota; Viridiplantae; Streptophyta; Magnoliopsida; Poales; Poaceae.